Molecule: ribosomal RNA, 254 nt
Filed under: uncultured bacterium
Lineage: Bacteria
Description: partial 16S ribosomal RNA
Rfam family: Bacterial small subunit ribosomal RNA
Source: RNAcentral
UACGUAGGGGGCGAGCGUUGUCCGGAUUCAUUGGGCGUAAAGAGCUCGUAGGCGGCUUGGUUAGUUGGGUGUGAAACCUCCAGGCUUAACCUGGAGACGCCACUCAAUACUGCCAUGGCUAGAGUCCGGUAGGGGACCACGGAAUUCCUGGUGUAGCGGUGAAAUGCACAGAUAUCAGGAGGAACACCGGUGGCGAAGGCGGGUCUCUGGGCCGUUACUGACGCUGAGGAGCGAAAGCGUGGGGAGCGAACAGG